Vigna umbellata (rice bean) is the source of this 494-nucleotide non-coding RNA. The record is from RefSeq and is a predicted model, not a curated record. Lineage: Eukaryota; Viridiplantae; Streptophyta; Magnoliopsida; Fabales; Fabaceae.
AUUUUUUGGGUUCGAACAGGGCUUUUAGAGAAGGCCAAGUCUCAGGUCAAUGUGUUAAAGGAACAGUAUAAGGAGCUUGCUGAAGUUCUUGGAGGAAGCUCUGGGCAAUACUAUAGGUAUCAUGGUGAUUGGAAGAGUGAAACACAGACUGUAGUUUCGAUGCUUACGUUCAUGCACUGGCUAGAAACAGGAAGCCUUCUCGAGCACAAAGAGGCUGAGGAAAAACUUGGGUUGGGUUCAGACUUCGGUCUAGACGUUGAAGACUACUUAAUAGGUGAGUCUUUUAAAACAUGUACUUGUUUAGCAUUAACUGUGUAAUAAUCGUUUCUGGAGAUGAAUAUGAUCCUAUUGCGCAUUUUCUCGGGCUAGCUUCCUUCAGGGGGCGUGGUCAACUUAAAUAUGGUUAUAAUUUUAAAAAAACACGGGUAUGGCGGUUAUAAUAAGUGGGAUUUCCGGGACAACGGAUCAAUAACCAAAUGUGUACGUUAGUGUUA